This 399-nucleotide long non-coding RNA is filed under the name Ananas comosus (pineapple). Its description in RNAcentral is "long non-coding RNA (ACOM_LNC028663)". Lineage: Eukaryota; Viridiplantae; Streptophyta; Magnoliopsida; Poales; Bromeliaceae. The record is from RNAcentral.
AUGUAAAAUAUACAUCUAUUUUUGGAUAUAUGUGCAACAAUCCGACCCGUUAGCAAUAAUAACUCGUUGGGUCCAAAUUAGCGGCCUAAAAUACUUAAGUCUAAUUAUUUGUAAAGACGAUGUGAGAUUUGUGAGAUGGAUAGCACUUAGCUCUCACACUUUUAGCUGGUAUUCGGUUCUAAUACCAAAUGUAACAAUUCGACCCGUUAGCAAUAAUAACUCGUUGGGCCUAACCACCUGCCCAAAAUAUUUAAACUCAGCUAUUAUUACUAGCGUGUAGAGUUUAUAUAUUAUAAUUAGAAUUUGUUUUCCACCCGAUAUAGAACUAUUAGGGCGUUACAAUAUGAAUAGCAUUGUUUUUUCUAUUUUUCAAUUUAUUUUUUUUAUUUGAAGUGUUUG